CUUCAGUGAAGAGAUGAUGACGAGUCUGAUUGGAGGUGUUAUCUUUGUCCAGGUGGCUUACUCUGUGCUGCGUUCUGUGGGGCAGGUUUAAGGAUCCUGGGUCAAAGUGACUUCCUUAAGAUGACCAAGAGGCAUUUGUCUGAGAAGG
Molecule: small nucleolar RNA, 148 nt
Organism: Loxodonta africana (African savanna elephant)
Lineage: Eukaryota; Metazoa; Chordata; Mammalia; Proboscidea; Elephantidae
Source: Ensembl